AUUGAACGCUGGCGGCAGGCUUAACACAUGCAAGUCGUACGGUAACAGAGGGAAGCUUGCUUCUCUGCUGACGAGUGGCGGACGGGUGAGUAAUGUCUGGGAAGCUGCCUGCUUGAGGGGGAUAGCGGAGCGAAAGUUCCGAUAAUACCGCGUAAGCCCGAGAGGGGAAAGUGCGGGACCGUAAGGCCGCACGCGAGCAGAUGCGCCCAGAUGGGAUUAGGCAGUUGGGGAGGUAACGGCUCACCAAACCGAUGAUCUCUAGCUGGUUUGAGAGGACAAUCAGCCACAUUGGAAUUGAGAAACGGACCAAACUCCUACGGGAGGCAGCAGUGGGGAAUAUUGCACAAUGGGGGAAACCCUGAUGCAGCCAUGCCGCGUGUGUGAAGAAGGCCUUCGGGUUGUUAAAGGACACUUUUGCAUUCGAGGAAGACAGACGUAUAAAAUAAAUAGCGCUAUUUGACGUUAGAGUGUGAAUAAGCACCGGCAAACUCCGU
This 494-nucleotide ribosomal RNA is filed under the name uncultured bacterium. RNAcentral's name for it is "bacterial SSU rRNA". It matches the Rfam family "Bacterial small subunit ribosomal RNA", at positions 30 to 506 of the family's 1533-position model. The record is from RNAcentral.